Molecule: ribosomal RNA, 193 nt
Filed under: uncultured bacterium
Lineage: Bacteria
Description: partial 16S ribosomal RNA
Rfam family: Bacterial small subunit ribosomal RNA
Source: RNAcentral
CCUACGGGAGGCAGCAGUGGGGAAUAUUGGACAAUGGGCGCAAGCCUGAUCCAGCCACGCCGCGUGAGUGAUGAAGGCCUUCGGGUCGUAAAGCUCUGUGGGGAGGGACGAACCGCUGUUGGUUCAUAGCCAACAGCAUGACGGUACCUCCUUAGCAAGCACCGGCUAACUUCGUGCCAGCAGCCGCGGUAAU